Molecule: long non-coding RNA, 1435 nt
Filed under: Panax ginseng (ginseng)
Lineage: Eukaryota; Viridiplantae; Streptophyta; Magnoliopsida; Apiales; Araliaceae
Description: long non-coding RNA (PGIN_LNC000071)
Source: RNAcentral
UUGUGUUGUACUUAAUAAAAUAUUAUUUCAUUUCAUCAAUGAAUAUAUUUUAUUGUGGUACUGACGUUGACUUUAUGGUGUUUGUAGGAUGUCUGACGAGCGCCAAGGUAGUUACUCAGUUGAGCAGGAACCCAUUGAGCAUGAGGCCACCCAAGAUGUCCCUCAUGGUCCUCCGGUAGGGGACUUGUUGAGGAGAAUCAGUCAAUUAGAAGGCAGAGUGGAAGAAUUAGAAAUAGAAAACCACACCCUCCAAUUUACUGAAGAACAAUACAAGGAUGAGGCUCAUCAAGCCCAGAUGGAGAAAGUCGAACAGAAGGAAAAAUUUGAUGAGUCCCAGUUGCAAGUUGGGAUACUGAUGGUACAGCUAGAGAAUGAAAAGGCAAAGUUUGGAGAGCUGAGCAUGAAGCAUCUGGAGAUGCAGGCUGAGUUUGACGUAGAAAUUACCGAUAAGAUACGGGUGGAAGAGGAACUCCAUGAGUUGGAUGAGCUGGUGGGCCAAUUAAAGAUCGAACUACAGGCCGUAAAGGUCAGAGUAGAAACUUUAGGACUGGCCCUUGAUGCAGCGUAUGAGGGCCAGCGCAGAGGGGCUAGGAGGGUCCACUCUGAGAUAGGAGAGUCUAGUCGAUCCGUUCGACGUAGAGUCCUGCAGUAGUUGCUUCCCUAGGAGCCUGUGCAGAUGACCUAGCAGGGCCACCAGUGGUGAUGAUGUGAUGGCCCAGUUAUAAAUAGAUGCAUUAGUACCUUUCUUGUUGUGUAAUAAGGAUUUAUGUUGAUGUAAACCUCAGUAGGUGCGAGGUAGUAAAUGGUUAGGUACUUUCCCUAAUUGUGUUUGUAGGGAGGUAUCAUUAUGAGUUAAUCCCAUCUUUUGUGUUAAAAUGGGAUAGUAGUUUGUGUUGUACUUAAUAAAAUAUUAUUUCAUUUCAUCAAUGAAUAUAUUUUAUUGUGGUACUGACGUUGACUUUAUGGUGUUUGUAGGAUGCCUGACGAGAGCCAAGGUAGUUACUCAGUUGAGCAGGAACCCAUUGAGCAUGAGUUCACCCAAGAUGUCCCUCAUGGUCCUCCGGUAGGGGACUUGUUGAGGAGAAUCAGUCAAUUAGAAGGCAUAGUGGAGGAAUUAGAAGUAGAAAACCACACCCUCCAAUUUACUGAAGAACAAUACAAGGAUGCAGCUCAUCAAGCCCAAAUGGAGAAAGUCGAACAGAGGAAAAAUUUGAAGAGUCCCAGUUGCAAGUUGAGAUACUGAGGGUACAGCUAGAGAAUGAAAAGGCCAAGUUUGGAGAGCUGAGCAUGAAGCAUCUGGAGAUGCAGGCUGAGUUUGACGUAGAAAUUGCCGAUAAGAUACGGGUGGAAGAGGAACUCCAUGAGUCGGAUGAGCUGGUGGGCCAAUUAAAGAUUGAACUGCAGGCCAUAAAGGUCAGAGUAGAAACUUUAGGAC